This 262-nucleotide long non-coding RNA is filed under the name Amborella trichopoda. RNAcentral describes it as "long non-coding RNA (ATRI_LNC003349)". Lineage: Eukaryota; Viridiplantae; Streptophyta; Magnoliopsida; Amborellales; Amborellaceae. The record is from RNAcentral.
UUUCCUCCCUCUUUCUCAAGUUUCCAAUUGUGCUGAAUUGGAAGGACUUCAAUGAAGCAGUUCACUGCUUGAUUGCUCAUUGAAGAUGUUAUGGCAUACAGUAGCAGAUGAUGAUGCUUUUUCGGGGAUAAGUGGACUUCAAAUUGUUGGUGAUGCAUUUCCCAGGAUGGGAGAUUAAAGCAUGUGGAUCAUCCAUAGAGCCUGAUUGUAAUUUUGUAAAAAAAAUAUGAAAUAUUUGUGUCAUGUUUUCUUUAUUUGCUAU